GACGAACGCUGGCGGCAUGCCUAAUACAUGCAAGUUGAACGAUGAUAUUCUCUGCUUGCUGAGACUUGAAGAGUAGCGAACGGGUGAGUAACACGUGGGGAACCUGCCCAUGAGAGGGGGAUAACAUUCGGAAACGGAUGCUAAUACCGCAUAAUGCUUUGGACCGCCUGGUCCAGAGACGAAAGACGGCUUUUGCUGUCCCUCAUGGUUGGCCCCGCGCCGUAUUAGCUAGUUGGUGAGGUAAUGGCUCACCAAAGCUGUGAUACGUAGCCGACCUGAGAGGGUGAUCGGCCACACUGGGACUGAGACACGGCCCAGACUCCUACGGGAGGCAGCAGUAGGGAAUCUUCCACAAUGGGCGAAAGCCUGAUGGAGCAAUGCCGCGUGAAUGAAGAAGGUCUUCGGAUCGUAAAGUUCUGUUAUUAGAGAAGAACAAGUCAAGGAGUAACUGUCUUGACUUUGACGGUACCUAACCAGAAAGUCACGGCUAACUACGUG
This 498-nucleotide ribosomal RNA is filed under the name uncultured bacterium. Its description in RNAcentral is "partial 16S ribosomal RNA". It matches the Rfam family "Bacterial small subunit ribosomal RNA", at positions 28 to 507 of the family's 1533-position model. The record is from RNAcentral.